This 497-nucleotide ribosomal RNA is filed under the name uncultured bacterium. RNAcentral describes it as "partial 16S ribosomal RNA". It matches the Rfam family "Bacterial small subunit ribosomal RNA", at positions 28 to 507 of the family's 1533-position model. The record is from RNAcentral.
GAUGAACGCUGGCGGCGUGCCUAAUACAUGCAAGUCGAGCGAACAGACGAGGAGCUUGCUCCUCUGACGUUAGCGGCGGACGGGUGAGUAACACGUGGAUAACCUACCUAUAAGACUGGGAUAACUUCGGGAAACCGGAGCUAAUACCGGAUAAUAUAUUGAACCGCAUGGUUCAAUAGUGAAAGACGGUUUUGCUGUCACUUAUAGAUGGAUCCGCGCCGCAUUAGCUAGUUGGUAAGGUAACGGCUUACCAAGGCGACGAUGCGUGGCCGACCUGAGAGGGUGAUCGGCCACACUGGAACUGAGACACGGUCCAGACUCCUACAGGAGGCAGCAGUAGGGAAUCUUCCGCAAUGGGCGAAAGCCUGACGGAGCAACGCCGCGUGAGUGAUGAAGGUCUUCGGAUCGUAAAACUCUGUUAUUAGGGAAGAACAAAUGUGUAAGUAACUAUGCACGUCUUGACGGUACCUAAUCAGAAAGCCACGGCUAACUACGUG